RNAcentral lists this ribosomal RNA (418 nucleotides) under uncultured bacterium. RNAcentral's name for it is "bacterial SSU rRNA". It matches the Rfam family "Bacterial small subunit ribosomal RNA", at positions 358 to 773 of the family's 1533-position model. The record is from RNAcentral.
GGAAUAUUGGACAAUGGGCGGGAGCCUGAUCCAGCCAUGCCGCGUGCAGGAAGACUGCCCUAUGGGUUGUAAACUGCUUUUGUACGGGACGAAACACCCCCUCGCGAGGGGGCUUGACGGUACCGUACGAAUAAGGAUCGGCUAACUCCGUGCCAGCAGCCGCGGUAAUACGGAGGAUCCGAUCGUUAUCCGGAAUCAUUGGGUUUAAAGGGGCAGUAGGUGGACAAUUAAGUCAGGGGUGAAAUCCCGCAGAUCAACUGUGGAAUUGCCCUUGAUACUGGUUGUCUUGAGUCGUUGUGAAGUGGUUGGAAUAUGUAGUGUAGCGGUGAGAUGCAUAGAUAUUACAUAGAACACCGAUUGCGAAGGCAGAUCACUAACGACGCACUGACACUGAUGGACGAAAGCGUGGGGAGCGAAC